RNAcentral lists this ribosomal RNA (492 nucleotides) under uncultured bacterium. RNAcentral's name for it is "partial 16S ribosomal RNA". It matches the Rfam family "Bacterial small subunit ribosomal RNA", at positions 29 to 507 of the family's 1533-position model. The record is from RNAcentral.
AGUGAACGCUGGCGGUAGGCCUAACACAUGCAAGUCGAACGGCAGCACAGUAAGAGCUUGCUCUUACGGGUGGCGAGUGGCGGACGGGUGAGGAAUACAUCGGAAUCUACUUUUUCGUGGGGGAUAACGUAGGGAAACUUACGCUAAUACCGCAUACGACCUACGGGUGAAAGCAGGGGAUCUUCGGACCUUGCGCGACUGAAUGAGCCGAUGUCGGAUUAGCUAGUUGGCGGGGUAAAGGCCCACCAAGGCGACGAUCCGUAGCUGGUCUGAGAGGAUGAUCAGCCACACUGGAACUGAGACACGGUCCAGACUCCUACGGGAGGCAGCAGUGGGGAAUAUUGGACAAAGGGCGCAAGCCUGAUCCAGCCAUACCGCAUGGGUGAAGAAGGCCUUCGGGUUGUAAAGCCCUUUUGUUGGGAAAGAAAAGCAGCAGGUUAAUACCCCGCUGUUCUGACGGUACCCAAAGAAUAAGCACCGGCUAACUUCGUG